Molecule: ribosomal RNA, 677 nt
Filed under: Bacillus sp. 2C9
Lineage: Bacteria; Bacillati; Bacillota; Bacilli; Caryophanales; Bacillaceae
Description: bacterial SSU rRNA
Rfam family: Bacterial small subunit ribosomal RNA
Source: RNAcentral
AGAUUAGAGUUUGAUCCUGGCUCAGGACGAACGCUGGCGGCGCGCCUAAUACAUGCAAGUCGAGCGGACAGAAGGGAGCUUGCUCCCGGAUGUUAGCGGCGGACGGGUGAGUAACACGUGGGUAACCUGCCUGUAAGACUGGGAUAACUCCGGGAAACCGGAGCUAAUACCGGAUAGUUCCUUGAACCGCAUGGUUCAAGGAUGAAAGACGGUUUCGGCUGUCACUUACAGAUGGACCCGCGGCGCAUUAGCUAGUUGGUGGGGUAAUGGCUCACCAAGGCGACGAUGCGUAGCCGACCUGAGAGGGUGAUCGGCCACACUGGGACUGAGACACGGCCCAGACUCCUACGGGAGGCAGCAGUAGGGAAUCUUCCGCAAUGGACGAAAGUCUGACGGAGCAACGCCGCGUGAGUGAUGAAGGUUUUCGGAUCGUAAAGCUCUGUUGUUAGGGAAGAACAAGUGCGAGAGUAACUGCUCGCACCUUGACGGUACCUAACCAGAAAGCCACGGCUAACUACGUGCCAGCAGCCGCGGUAAUACGUAGGUGGCAAGCGUUGUCCGGAAUUAUUGGGCGUAAAGGGCUCGCAGCGGUUUCUUAAGUCUGAUGUGAAAGCCCCCGGCUCAACCGGGGAGGGUCAUUGGAAACUGGGAAACUUGAGUGCAGAAGAGGAGAGUGG